Molecule: ribosomal RNA, 497 nt
Filed under: uncultured bacterium
Lineage: Bacteria
Description: partial 16S ribosomal RNA
Rfam family: Bacterial small subunit ribosomal RNA
Source: RNAcentral
GACGAACGCUGGCGGCGUGCCUAAUACAUGCAAGUAGAACGCUGAAGAGAGGAGCUUGCUCUUCUUGGAUGAGUUGCGAACGGGUGAGUAACGCGUAGGUAACCUGCCUUGUAGCGGGGGAUAACUAUUGGAAACGAUAGCUAAUACCGCAUAACAAUGGAUGACACAUGGCAUUUAUUUGAAAGGGGCAAUUGCUCCACUACAAGAUGGACCUGCGUUGUAUUAGCUAGUAGGUGAGGUAAUGGCUCACCUAGGCGACGAUACAUAGCCGACCUGAGAGGGUGAUCGGCCACACUGGGACUGAGACACGGCACAGACGCCUACGGGAGGCAGCAGUAGGGAAUCUUCGGCAAUGGGGGCAACCCUGACCGAGCAACGCCGCGUGAGUGAAGAAGGUUUUCGGAUCGUAAAGCUCUGUUGUAAGUCAAGAACGGGUGUGAGAGUGGAAAGUUCACACUGUGACGGUAGCUUACCAGAAAGGGACGGCUAACUACGUG